This 262-nucleotide ribosomal RNA is filed under the name uncultured archaeon. RNAcentral's name for it is "partial 16S ribosomal RNA". It matches the Rfam family "Archaeal small subunit ribosomal RNA", at positions 717 to 982 of the family's 1478-position model. The record is from RNAcentral.
AGUCACUGACAUUAGAUACCCGUGUAGUCCAGGGUGUAAACGCUGCAGACUUGGUGUUGGAAGCCCUUUGGGGGCAUUCAGUGCCGGAGAGAAGUUGUUAAGUCUGCUACUUGGGGAGUACGUCCGCAAGGAUGAAACUUAAGGAAUUGGCGGGGAGCACCGCAACGGGAGGAGCGUGCGGUUUAAUUGGAUUCAACACCGUAAACUCACCAGGGAAGACUGUUACAUGGAGGCCGAGAUGAAGACUCUGCUAGAUUUUCAG